This 497-nucleotide ribosomal RNA is filed under the name uncultured bacterium. RNAcentral describes it as "partial 16S ribosomal RNA". It matches the Rfam family "Bacterial small subunit ribosomal RNA", at positions 28 to 507 of the family's 1533-position model. The record is from RNAcentral.
GAUGAACGCUGGCGGCGUGCCUAAUACAUGCAAGUCGAGCGAACGGACGAGAAGCUUGCUUCUCUGAUGUUAGCGGCGGACGGGUGAGUAACACGUGGAUAACCUACCUAUAAGACUGGGAUAACUUCGGGAAACCGGAGCUAAUACCGGAUAAUAUUUUGAACCGCAUGGUUCAAAAGUGAAAGACGGUCUUGCUGUCACCUAUAGAUGGAUCCGCGCUGCAUUAGCUAGUUGGUAAGGUAACGGCUUACCAAGGCAACGAUGCAUAGCCGACCUGAGAGGGUGAUCGGCCACACUGGAACUGAGACACGGUCCAGACGCCUACGGGAGGCAGCAGUAGGGAAUCUUCCGCAAUGGGCGAAAGCCUGACGGAGCAACGCCGCGUGAGUGAUGAAGGUCUUCGGAUCGUAAAACUCUGUUAUUAGGGAAGAACAUAUGUGUAAGUAACUGUGCACAUCUUGACGGUACCUAAUCAGAAAGCCACGGCUAACUACGUG